CUACGGGUGGCUCCAGUGGGGAAUAUUGCACAAUGGGCGAAAGCCUGAUGCAGCAACGCCGCGUGAGUGAUGAAGGCCUUCGGGUCGUAAAACUCUGUCCUCAAGGAAGAAUAAUGACGGUACUUGAGGAGGAAGCCCCGGCUAACUACGUGCCAGCAGCCGCGGUAAUACGUAGGGGGCAAGCGUUAUCCGGAAUCACUGGGCGUAAGGGGUGCGUAGGCGGUUUUACAAGUCAGGUGUGAAAGGCUAUGGCUCAACCAUAGUAAGCACUUGAAACUGUAUAACUUGAGUGCAGGAGAGGAAAGUGGAAUUCCUAGUGUAGCGGUGAAAUGCGUAGAUAUUAGGAGGAACACCAGUGGCGAAGGCGACUUUCUGGACUGUAACUGACGCUGAGGCACGAAAGCGUGGGGAGCGAACAGGAUUAGAUACCCGGGUAGUC
RNAcentral lists this ribosomal RNA (439 nucleotides) under uncultured bacterium. Its description in RNAcentral is "partial 16S ribosomal RNA". It matches the Rfam family "Bacterial small subunit ribosomal RNA", at positions 339 to 795 of the family's 1533-position model. The record is from RNAcentral.